UCAGUUCGGGUACUGCUCCAAAAUGGUUUCAUUUAUGGCUUUAAUACCAGUUCACCAUGAAGUUCUAUCUUGGUCUAGUCGCUGUGCUUUGCUUUUGCGCCACCAAAUCGAUGGCAGAUAAUGGCAAACAAAUAAGCUCGGCAAACAUGUCGAGCUAUACAUUUAUUAAAAACUUGACGGAUGUUACCAAAAUUAAGUGCUACCUAUAUUGGAUGUCCAGACUUGUCAAGAAUUCAGGAAAUAUAGUUUCUGAGUUGGCAAAAUGUGUCAAACAAUUUAGCGACAAAGCAAUUCGCGUAGUGACCGCCUUCAAAGAGCUUGUCGCAGUAAUCAGGCCCAUUUUUGAGGCCUGUACGGGUAUAAUCGUGGAUAAAGUCGUCGGUGGAGCAGCUUGUUUGAAAGCAUUUACACUAAAUGCUUUCUCAUUGUUUAGAGCAUUGAAAAAGUUCCACGACGAGGUUAACAGUGAACCACAAAGUAAAACCGAGUGCGCGAAGAUUGCGCUUAAAGAAUAUUUUGAGGCUUCCAGUGUUUACGAAGUCAUCGAUAGCUGUAUAUAUCCGGGUAAUACAACAACUACUAAAGCUGCAGUGACUUCCAAACCUACUGAUCGGCCAUUCUACAAAAAACUAUUACCUUUUAUUUGACUAAACAAUGCAUUCGAGGCUACCUGAUGAGAAGCUGUCAUUAAAAGAAUGCAUAAAAUAAAUAUACAUACAUACAUAAGUGUAAGAAAUCGUAUCUAUAUGGUAGAUUUAUGUGCAGAGGUUCCGAAGCAAAUCAAUUUGGGUAUGUCUGUCGCCCUGCGGGUAGUAGACUCUUUCAUUUGGGGCUUAAAUAUCAGUUCACCAUGAAGAGCCAUCUUGUGCUGGCCCUUGCGCUGUGCUGGCUCCCUCUUUUAUCGUUGGCAGAUAAUGGCGAAAAUAUAAGCUCCGCAAACAUGUCAAGCUUUGAAAUUUUAAAAAAGUUGACGGAUGUUACCAAAAUGAAGUGUUACCUAUAUUGGAUGUCCAGACUUGUCAAGAAUUCAGGAAGUAUAGUUUCUGAGUUGUUUAAAUGUGGCAAACAAUAUGGCGGAAAAGCAAUUCGCGUAGUGACCGCCUUCAAAGACCUUGUCGCAGGAAUGUUGCCUAUUUUUAAUUCCUGUAAGGGUGUAAUCGUUGAUGCAAUCGUCGGUGGAGCAACUUGUGUGAAAGCAUUUGCACAACAGGCAUUCUCUUUGGUGGAAUCAUUGACUAAGUUCAACAAGGAGAUGAGCAGUGAACCAAACAAUGAAUCCAGCUGCGUGAACACUGCUUUUAAGAAAUAUUUCGAAGCUUCAAGUGUUUACGAAGUCAUCGAUAGCUGUUCCCUUCCGGUUACAACAACAACUGCUAAACCAGUUACAACUACCCAGCCUCCUACUGAUAAGCCAUUCUACAAAAAAAUAAUUUCUUUAUUUGACUAAAUAAUGCAUUCGAGGCUACCCGAUGAGAAGCUGUCAUUAAAAGAAUCCAUAAAGUAAAUAUACAUACAUUAGUGUAAGAAAUCGUAUCUAUAUGGCAGAUUUAUGUGCAGAGGUUCCGAAGCAAAUCAAUUUGGUUAUGUCUGUCGCCCUGCGGGUAGUAGACUCUUUCAUUUGGGGCUUAAAUGUCAGUUCACCAUGAAGACCCAUCUUGUGCUGGCCUUUGCGCUGUGCUGGUUCCCUCUUUUAUCGUUGGCAGAUAAUGGCGAAAAAAUAAGCUCCGCAAACAUGUCAAGCUUUCAAAUUUUCAAAAAAUUGACGGAUGUUACCAAUAUGAAGUGUUACCUAUAUUGGAUGUCCAGACUUGUCAAGAAUUCAGGAAAUAUAGUUUCUGAGUUGGCAAAAUGUGUCAAACAAUUUAGCGACAAAGCAAUUCGCGUAGUGACCGCCUUCAACGACCUUGUCGCAGGAAUCGAGCCUAUUUUUGAAUCAUGUAAGGGUGUAAUCGUGGAUGCAAUCGUCGGUGGAACAUCUUGUGUGAAAGCAUUUGUCCAAAAGGCAUACUCUUUGAUUGGAUCAUUGAAAAAGUUCAACAGCGAUGUUAACAGUGGACCAAACACUCAAUCCGGGUGCGCGAGCACGGCUUUUAAGAAAUAUUUCGAAGCUUCAAGUGUUUACGAAGUCAUCGAUAGCUGUUCCCUUCCGGUUACGACAACAACUGCUAAACCUGUUACAACUACCCAGCCUCCUACCGAUAAGCCAUUCUACAAAAAAAUAAUUUCUUUAUUUGACUAAACAAUGCAUUCGAGGCUACCUGAUGAGAAGCUCUCAUUAAAUGAAUGCAUACAUAA
This is a long non-coding RNA of Drosophila pseudoobscura, 2295 nucleotides long. RefSeq lists it as uncharacterized. NCBI's taxonomy places the organism in Eukaryota, Metazoa, Arthropoda, Insecta, Diptera, Drosophilidae. The record is from RefSeq and is a predicted model, not a curated record. The transcript has 4 exons.